GAACGAUGAAACUUUACUGACUUCUUCGGAAAGAUUUAAAGCGGAUUAGUGGCGGACGGGUGAGUAACACGUGAGUAACCUGCCUUGCACAAGGGGAUAGCCGUUGGAAACGACGAAUAAUACCCUAUGAAACUAUCACUUCGCAUGAAGCGAUAGUCAAAGUGUUAGCGGUGUAAGAUGGACUUGCGUCUGAUUAGCUAGUUGGUGAGAAAAAAGCCCACCAAGGCAACGAUCAGUAGCCGGCUUGAGAGAGUGUACGGCCACAUUGGGACUGAGACACGGCCCAGACUCCUACGGGAGGCAGCAGUGGGGAAUUUUGCACAAUGGGGGAAACCCUGAUGCAGCGACGCCGCGUGAUUUAGAAGGCCUUCGGGUUGUAAAAAUCUUUUGUAUAGGAAGAAAAUGACAGUACUAUACGAAUAAGGUCCGGCUAAUUACGUGCCAGCAGCCGCGGUAAUACGUAAGGACCGAGCGUUGUCCGGAAUCAUUGGGCGUAAAGGGUACGUAGGCGGGUCAUUAAGUUAGAAGUCAAAGGCUAUAGCUCAACUAUAGUAAGCUUCUGAAACUGGAGACCUUGAGUAAUGGAAGGGAAAGUGGAAUUCCUAGUGUAGCGGUGGAAUGCGCAGAUAUUAGGAGGAAUACCGGUGGCGAAGGCGACUU
RNAcentral lists this ribosomal RNA (660 nucleotides) under uncultured Eubacteriales bacterium. RNAcentral's name for it is "bacterial SSU rRNA". It matches the Rfam family "Bacterial small subunit ribosomal RNA", at positions 64 to 727 of the family's 1533-position model. Lineage: Bacteria; Bacillati; Bacillota; Clostridia; Eubacteriales. The record is from RNAcentral.